UACGUAGGGGGCAAGCGUUGUCCGGAAUCAUUGGGCGUAAAGGGCGCGUAGGCGGCUUUUCAAGUGACGGGUGAAAUCCCUCGGCUUAACCGAGGAACUGCCUGUCAGACUGGAAGGCUUGAGACCGGGAGAGGUGAGUGGAACUCCGAGUGUAGAGGUGAAAUUCGUAGAUAUUCGGAAGAACACCAGUGGCGAAGGCGGCUCACUGGUCCGGUACUGACGCUGAGGUGCGAAAGCGUGGGGAGCAAACAGG
This 253-nucleotide ribosomal RNA is filed under the name uncultured bacterium. RNAcentral's name for it is "partial 16S ribosomal RNA". It matches the Rfam family "Bacterial small subunit ribosomal RNA", at positions 524 to 776 of the family's 1533-position model. The record is from RNAcentral.